This 107-nucleotide small nuclear RNA is filed under the name Nannospalax galili (Upper Galilee mountains blind mole rat). Lineage: Eukaryota; Metazoa; Chordata; Mammalia; Rodentia; Spalacidae. The record is from RNAcentral.
AUGCUUGCUUCAGCAGCACAUAUACUAAAAUUGGAACUAUACAGAGAAGAUUAGCAUGGCCGCUGCACAAGGAUGACACACAAAUUUGUGAAACAUUCCAUAUUUUU